This 17198-nucleotide long non-coding RNA is filed under the name Citrus sinensis (sweet orange). RNAcentral's name for it is "long non-coding RNA (CSIN_LNC003116)". The record is from RNAcentral. Lineage: Eukaryota; Viridiplantae; Streptophyta; Magnoliopsida; Sapindales; Rutaceae.
UGCCCGCAAGCGCAGGAAGAGAAUCAUCAAUAGUAAGAUUGUUCAGUGGCGCACCUGGCACUAGAGGAGGAAGUUCCUGAUCGGGUUAACUGAACCGAACUAAACUCAAUUUAUUUCGGGUUCCAUUCGGUUCAUGUUAACCUAUGUAAUCCGAAUGGGUUGAAAAUAGGUUUAAUUUCAACCUGAACCGAAAUUUUGGCUUAAAAAACAAAAAAACAAAUCGCUCACUAGUCAUCUCGUAGCUGUCACGCCCAACUCUCCUCUCCACUCAGAGCACCCAUAAAUCCCUAACCGCAAGACAUCAACACCCACGGUGACGGCAGACGCAGCCCACAACCGUCUGCCCGUCCCCUCCAGACUCUAGCUGACACCUGACGCCCGACGCCCGCACCCACUUCAUAGUUCACCCACGCCCGUAAAGUAUAACACUCGCACGGCACACUGCACCGACGCUGACACUGUUAGUUUCUUCCCGCUGACGGGUUGAGCUUUAAAAAAAAAAUCUCUCUCUCACGCUCACAUCUCAGCGCUCAACAAAUCGCAGUUCACAAAACCAAUUUCCAAAUCCCUAAUCACAGCAGCACGACGACAUAUGGCAGCCCAACUCUAGCCGACGCCCAACGCCGCCAUUCACCUCAGCACCACGCUCGCCCUCAGCACGCCCUCUACACGCUCGCAGCCCAAAGCCGUUCACCUCGUGCUCGCGGCUGACUCACUCCCACACGGCCACACUGCUGACGCUCACAGCCCGCAGCCAUUCACCUGUGCCGUUCGCUUCCAAACUAGUUGUCGUCUCUUGACUCACUUCCAUCUCUGCCUAGCUUCCAAUCCAUUCGAUCCAUCAACUCAUCAACAUCAAGGUCAGUAAUUAUUUGAUCUUAAGCUCUCUUCCAUGCUCUAUAAUUCUGCCAAUUUCCAAAUCUUUACGCUCUCAAUCAACUAUCAAAGCAAUCAGUCAAUCACCAUUGAGUUGUAAAUAAUGCCAUAUUGUAAGUAGUUGUUAAUAAAUGCGAGUAACCCCAGGCGUGCCAAUACAGUUCAAUUGAAACCAUUUUUUUACAUUAUUAUUAUUAUUAUUAUUAGUAGUAGCAAAUGAGUCAAAAUUAUGAAUCAGCAAACCAUUUUUUUUUACAUUAUUAUUACUUCUAACCCAAAUUAACCCAAAUUUUUUGAAUUGGACUGUUCCAACUCGAAUUAACCCUAACCGAAAUUUGAACUGAAAUUACCAACCCAAACCAAUCUAAAGUAUGAAUCCAAACCGAACUGAAGCGAAUUAAUUUGCGUUUUCAACAUGAUUGGGUUGUAACACAAAUAGAAACCCAAACAACCUGAACCAAAAUCCGAUUUAGUCACCCCUACCUGGCACCGGCAGCAAUCUCUUGUGAUUUGUUGCCAUUGUACUCAAAUAAGUGAUUCUAGGGAUUGCAAUUUUGUUGCUGUUAUAUUUCAAUAAAUAUUUCUAAGGAUUGAAAGUCUUCUUCCUAGAGACAAACAGAGAGUUAAAUUUAUUACACCAAAAAGGUUUAGGUUAAGCUAUUUUUAUAGUUGGUGGUGUCAUUUUCUUUUUCCAGUUUUAGUUGAUUCGAGUUUGAAGAACAAACUAAUUAUGGCAAAAAGGAAGCAGAGGAGCAAACCGAAGCGUGGACCGAGCUCAUGCAGGUGAAUAACAUGUUAUUUUUUUAUAACAGAAGCUGCUAGUGUAAGUUUUAGCUUUGAUAAUAUUGGCACACAAGUUAAAUUUUAAUCUUUUUCUUUUCCUUUUAAUUUUUUGGGCUAUCUUUAAUAAUGAUCACAUGUGGCAUGUUACCUUUACAGGCUAAUGAAAUUAAUUAUUUAUGUAAAUAGAUUCAUGAGCAAGUAAUGGAUUAAAUCAUUUAUAUUUCUUCCGGUUGUGAAAUUCAUUGUAUUGGCCUAUUGGGUGGUUUGUGUUGACUGUUGAGAUGAUAUAUCUAUUGUUUUUUUAGCUAUUUAAAUUUGGAAAAUGAGAUUCGGCCACCCUCGUUACAGAGGGAAGCCUAAAACGACAUGCUUAUGUGCCGUUUUGAAGUUUUAGAUUUGAGAAUUAAAAACAAAUUUUACCAUUCAAAAAUAAUGAAAGCUAAUCAAAACAAAUUAAAAAAUCUAAAUUCUUAUCCCUCCCCUCACUCAUCCCCUCUCUCUCUCACCCGCUCUGUCCCGCUCGGCUCUCACUCUCACCCACGAAGCUCGUUCCCCUCUCACUCACCCACAAGCUCACUGUUAAUAUUUUGCUCAGAUCUCAGCUAACUCAUCAUCGAAACCCCAACCAUUGACGCUAGGCUUAGGAGGAUCCUGUGUCGUGGGUCUGUUUCUUCUCUGAUCUUGCCCCUUUUUGUUCAAUCUAUUUAUGCCCUUGAUUGAUUUAGUCUCUUUGUUUUGUUGUGUUUCUUGUUCUGGCAAAAUCUAUCGUAGCUGUUGCUUUUAUUAUUUUAUAAUUUUUUUUGGGUGGUUUUGUGUAGUCUUAUGAACAUUCUUUUUGGCAUAAAUGCAUCUGGGUUACUAAGUUUGAUUUUUAAUUAGACUUGAUCCGUAAUUCUAUGCGUUUUUUGAAUUUUUUUUCGUGAAAUUAAGUUAAUUUAGUUUAGUAUUAUUAGAUUAUUGUCACCUAAAAUUAGUAUAUUUAAUCAGUUAAAGAAAUUCUUUUGACACGGCCUUACGAAACCUUGUAUGUGAUAUUUGGUUUUUUUUUUGUAUUUAUAUUUUAAAAUUACUAGAAAUAAGUUAUUUGAAGAGUGAUACGUUGUGAAAUGUUAAAGCUUAUGGUUUCGUUGUAAUUAUCUUUUUGCUUAUAUAUGUUUACGUCUGUUGGCACUCAUUUUUUUCUUUUUGUGUAUUUGAAGUUUGCAUAUAUGGUGUGUAUUAAGAUUUUCAAGUUGUUCUUCAAACAUAUUCUGGGUAGUUUGAUAUAUCACACGUUUCUGUGAAUUCUUUAGUUGAGGCAAUUGUUUUUGGUCUUAGCUGCAUUGUUAAGUUCUUUACCAUAUAGAAUUCCCUAAUUUUCUUCUGCUAAUCCAGUAAUUGCAGCUUCAUUCUAAGGUUCUUUAUUUUCUAUAAAGCAUAUAUUGCUUCAUUAACCCUCCUCUAAAAUUAAACCAAACGUGACUUGUAUUUGAUUUUUAUCCUUGAAAAAUAGAAUCCAUCCUUUUCUAAUAUGUAUUUGAUUCAUUUCAAUCUUACAGAUCAUUUUAAAUUGUUGUUGUUGUAUGAAUCCAACUCGAAUUAACCCUAACCCAAAUUACCAACCCAAACCAAUCCGAAGUAUGAAUCCAAACCGAACUGAAGCGAAUUAAUUUGCGUUUUCAACACAAUUGGGUUGUAACGCAAACCGAAACCCGAACAACCUGAGCCGAAAUCCGAUUUAGUCACCCCUAUCUGGCACCGGCAACAAUCUCUUGUGAUAUGUUGCCAUUGUACUCAAAUAAGUAAUUCUAGGGAUUGCAAUUUUGUUGCUGUUAUAUUGAAAUAAAUAUUUUUAGGGAUUGAAAGUCUUCUUCCUAGAGACAAACAGAGAGUUAAAUUUAUUACACCAAAAAGGUUUAAGUUAAGCUAUUUUUAUAGUUGGUGGUGUCAUUUUCUUUUUCCAGUUUUAGUUGAUUCGAGUUUGAAGAACAAACUAAUUAUGGCAAAAAGGAAGCAAAGGAGCAAACCGAAGUGUGGACCGAGCUCAUGCAGGUGAAUAACAUGUUAUUUUUUUGUAACAAAAGCUGCUAGUGUAAGUUUUAGCUUUGAUAAUAUUGGCACACAAGUUAAAUUUUAAUCUUUUUCUUUUCCUUUUAAUUUUUUGGGCUAUCUUUAAUAAUGAUCACAUGUGGCAUGUUACCUUUACAGGCUAAUGAAAUUAAUUAUUUAUGUAAAUAGAUUCAUGAGCAAGUAAUGGAUUAAAUCUCGUGCUCUUUUUAUAGAGCCUGAUUUGUUGCUGCUUGAUGAACCUACGGUGUGUUAUUUUUGUGCUCUCUAUGGAAUGAAUUGUUGCAGUUGAAUUUGCUUUAUAUAUAAAGUAUUUUUGUGGCAGAAUCACCUUGAUCUUCAUGCUGUCCUAUGGCUGGAAUCUUAUCUAGUGAAAUGGCCAAAAACAUUCAUAGUUGUUUCUCAUGCUAGAGAGUUUUUAAACACGGUAACUCUUUCGAGCUAUUUUUCUUCUCUGUUAGGGAUAAAAUAUACUCGAGUAAUAUAUUUAUUCUGAUAGUUCUUGUCAAUUCAUUAUUAUUUUCAGGUGGUCACAGAUAUUCUUCAUCUACAUGGUCAAAAACUGACUGCAUACAAAGGGAAUUAUGAUACAUUUGAGAGGACCCGGGAGGAACAGAUUAAAAACCAAGUGAAAGCAUUUGAGUCUAAUGAACGAUCAAGAGCACAUAUGCAGGUCUUCUUAGCUGCACUUCAUCCAAAAAGCAUUGAAAGCAAUUUACUUUUUAUUUCUAUUGUCCACCUUGUUUCACAGAUUAUAUUGAUUUGUAUCUAACAUGCAAAUGCUUUUCCUUGAUUAUGCAGUCCUUUAUUGAUAAGUUCCGAUAUAAUGCAAAGAGGGCAUCCCUUGUUCAGUCAAGAAUCAAGGUUUUCUCUUUAACUUAUAUGUCUUUGACUUCAAUGUUGAUCUCAACUUGAUUCCUAGUCCAGCUAUGUUGCUGAAUAAUUUGCCUUUUGGUUCCCUUGGACUUUGUCAGGCAUUAGAGCAGAUGGGUCAUGUAGAUGAAGUUGUAAAUGAUCCUGAGUAAGUACUGCUCUCCUGUUGACAAUAACGUUUUCCAGAAUUUCUAAAGUUUAGACUUUGCAUAUUUUUGCUUCAAAUUUCCUCUUUUAGAUUUACUCUUAUACCAAUGAUUUUUUGUUUUUACAAUGCAGCUAAAAAUUUGAGUUCCCAACUCCGGACGAUAGACCUGGGCCCCCUAUAAUAAGUUUCAGGUUAUAUUUUGCAGCUAAUCUGGGGGAAUGUUGAACAAAUGUUUUUAAGCUGUGCUUUUGUGUUUUUUGAGUAUCAAAGGCAUUAUUGGUUUGCAAUUAAUUUUUCCACUUCUGCUAGUAGUACAAGUUCCUUGCUGUGUGGCUGUAAUUAUUUUCAACUAGCAGUAUAUGUCUAUGCAUUACCAAAUUUUCUUUAAAUUCAGAAUGCUAAUUUAUCCCCUGUUAAAAUUACAUUUGGAUCUUGAAUUUUAUCCCAAGCUUGUUGGAAUCUAAUAAUCUUCUUGAAUGUGAUUGCAGCGAUGCAUCAUUUGGUUACCCUGGUGGGCCUAUAUUAUUUAAGAAUUUGAAUUUUGGGAUUGAUUUGGACAGCCGGAUAGCAAGUAGGCAUGCCUGUCCCUCUUUUUGCUUUUGAUUAUACAUUAGUUAAUUACAUCAUGUAUCUUUCAUGCUUUACAUUAAUGAAUUUGUAUACACAAGGUCAUUAUUCUAUAAAUGGAAUACAUGGUGCUAUCUUUGUGUAUUACUUGUAUGCUGAUGGCAGUUUUUAUCUGGGUGUUUGUAUUGUUUUGCAGUGGUUGGGCCAAAUGGGAUCGGCAAAUCAACUAUACUCAAACUUAUUGCUGGUGAGCUACAACCAAGCUCUGGAACAGUUUUCCGUUCAGCUAAGGUAUCUUAUUCUUGUUUUCUAGAAAUUUCAUAUAGUAAUUGCAAUUUUAACUCAGAUUCUUGUCUAUCAUGCAUCUAAAAUAAGUUUCACUGGCCAAUUGUAUUUCUGUCAUGACCUUCAUUCCCUGUGCAGUAGGAUUUAUCAGAUUCUCUUUUAUACAUUACUUAUUGUUCCACUUAAUAUCUUUGUAAAAGUUUUAUUUUAUUCUUGGAUAAUUGGUCUGGGUCUUGUAUACUUUGAUAUAAUGGAUUGUCAUUUCUGUCUCAACAGGUUCGCAUAGCUGUGUUCAGUCAGCACCAUGUUGAUGGGCUAGACCUAUCUUCAAAUCCCCUCUUGUACAUGAUGCGCUGCUUCCCUGUAAGCUAUUGUACUCUCCUCUUCCUUUUCGCAUUACAUUUAUGCAUCUAUGGAUACAUGCGUGCACCUUGUGGAAAACAAUCUGUAGUGUCAAGUUCAUAUGGCAGUCAUAAUUUGUUGUUAUCCUGGAUCUCAGAAUACCAUUGUUCAAAGAAUAUCAUGUAAUCAAAUCCCUUAUUUGAAGUUUUCUUCCUGCAGGGGGUGCCUGAGCAGAAGCUUCGAGCUCACUUGGGUUCUUUUGGUGUAACUGGAAAUCUUGCUCUUCAACCGAUGUACACUUUGUCUGGUAUGCUUCCUUUUUUAUCUUCUUAUGUCAUUGAUACAUUACAUUGGUUAUUUAAUGAUCUUGUAGAACUGCAGUUUGACUUUUGUCUGAAUUGACUUUUUGCAUUGUUUAUUGGAUUGAAGGCUUGCCACAAGUAGCAUGCAAGCCAUGUUAUAGUCAUGACUAAAAUGCAAGCUAUAUGUUAUUGUCAUGACUAACACACAAGCCAUAUGUUGUGUGUGGUGUCACCUGCGCACCACCAGUCUUCACAAUGAUAAGGUUUUAGUUUUUUAUGUACAGGUUCUCAUGUGUCUUUGUAUUUACGAUUUCUAUAUUAGGUGGCCAGAAAAGCAGAGUUGCUUUUGCAAAGAUUACAUUCAAAAAGCCACACAUAAUAUUGCUUGAUGAGCCAUCUAAUCACCUUGCAAGUUGCAAUCUUCUCUUUGCAUCUCUUUUGUCUUUUAGUAAUGUCCAACAUGCUCUAGAAAGUCGGGAUGCUAAGAUAUGAUUUGAGAUUUUGCUGGGGUAAGGAGGUGGAAUUUAUGUUGGAAAUAGAGUUUGGAUAUAUGUAUAUAUUUUGAAACAGAGUUUUGAUGCUAUUUUAACUCUAUUAUCCACUAUUGCAAUGGUGAAAAUUUUCAGCUAUUUUGAUUGACAUACUGAUGUUUCAAAAUGUAGGAUUUGGAUGCAGUGGAGGCACUAAUUCAAGGCCUUGUUUUGUUCCAAGGAGGGAUUCUCAUGGUAUUUUGCUUGUUCUCUUCAUGAUUAUAGUUCACGAAACUUAAUCAAUGAUAUAAAUAUAAUUCAUUAAGCUUAUUGAACUAUAUCAUGUUUUAUCAAACAUUUUGUUGUAAAAUGCGCCUGUUUCUACCGCGCAGGUUAGUCACGACGAACAUCUGAUAUCUGGAAGUGUAGAGGAGCUAUGGGUUGUAUCAGAAGGCAAGGCGACACCAUAUUUGUUGGAGCUUAGAGAUAUGCUCUCACAAGGGAAGUCUCGAACAGGAGGUGUUUCUUUUAUUUUAUUUUAUUUGAAAGUUGAAACAGAGGUGUUUAUUAAUUCAGCUAAAAAGUAAUUUUCUUUUGCAAGUAUAUCUAAUUUUCUCUUUUUUAUGAAUUUAACAAUAAAUAUUAAAUUGAAUGAAAAGGAAUCACUGUAGCAUUAAUGGUAAAACUUCUAAAUAAAUAAAUAAAACAAAUUUGAGUAUGACUAGGGAUGGUAAUUGUACCCGCAAACCCGCCCAAAUGCCCCCGUCAAAACCCGUCCGUUGCGGGUAAUUUUACCCGUUGCGGGCGGGUUUAGUAUUAUAAAUUAAAACCCGCACAUGGAUGCGGGUGGGUUUGGUAUUAACUUUAUAUCCGGUGGAUACCCGCAUGGAUAUCCACCAAACCCAUAAUAUUUUUUUUAAAUAUUUUUAAUUUAAUUUUAAUCUAAAAAUGUAUAAAGAAAAUAAUGUCAUUAAUUAAAUUACCAAAUAGCCAAAGGCUCAAAGUUGUGUAUGUGUGUAUGUGGCCUAUAUCCUAUUUUAAAGUCAUAAUUUAAAGAAAACUAAAGGCAUUUUUCUUCAAAUUAGUAUUUGAAAAUAUUAAUCUUAAUUAUUAUUAUAGGCAUUGUGUUGGAUGGGUGCUUAUGGUGGUGAAUGAAAUGAAUAUCUUCUCUUGGAGCUUGUUUUAAAUGAUAAUAUGAAAUGUAAUUAUUAUUUUUAGAUACUAGUUUGUGUUUUUUAAAUGGAUUUGUGUAAUUUAUACUUAAAUUUGAGAAUUUGUGUUGAAUUGAUGUGGAAAUUUUAAUUUUUCAUUUACAUUAUUUAAAUAUAAAAUUGAGUAUGUUAUAUGGAAUUUGAGGUUAUUAUUAUAAAUUUAUAUAUUAAACAUUUGUGAUUUUAAAUACGAAAACCCGCAAAAAAUCCGUCAGAUACCAUUGCGGGUUUGGUAAUUGUUAAAAUCCGCUGCGAGUUGCGGGUGGGUUUGGUAAUUUAAAUUUUGUGCGGGUUUGGGUGUGGUAAUGGCAAACCCGCUGCGGGUGGUGCCCAUUACCAUCCCUAAGUAUGACUGUGCUCUGUGCAUCCGUGGAAUCGGUCAGUGCCGUGGGAAGGAAUCGAACCUGGUCAUCGGUUACAAUUAAAAUAUGCGACUCAUCAUAAGUAAAUAUCACAUUAAUUAAGAUUAUAAUGAAUUAAGAUUGUAAUGAGUGUGAGUCAGGCUUAAAUUAUACAUAGAGUAUUUAUAUGAUUUAUGAUUGGACAAUGGAUGAGGGAGAGUUACCUAAAAUCUAUAUAUAUAUAUAUAAAUAAUGAAAUCACAAAUCUCAGGGUCUAAUACUCUAAUUCCAAGUCUCUGACAAUUGGGUCCGUUCUUGUUUUAUCCGCAAUUCCAAACAAUUCAUCCAAACCCCAAAUAAAAAAGCAAAUACCCAAUUUUCAUUUUCAUAUCUCACAAAAUUCUAAAAUCUAAUUCGUAAUGGAAGAUAACAAAUUAACAACCCCAGUAACAGCAUAAUAUCGCGAGACAGCUUGGGCAACGUGGCAAGCUGGGUGAGCGCCACUGUAGUCUCCGCCUUCUUCGCGUCCCUCGAACGAUGCUCUUGCGUCAAUCUCAGUACAACCGAUCCCGACGACGACGAGGAGGAUGAGGCGAAGGAUCGCCCUCUUACGCUCACCAGCAACUCCCACGCUCCCGACGACAUCGUUUGAUCCAUCGCCUGCCCUUCCUUUGGUAUCUGAAUUGUUAUAUUAAUCAAUUCCUUUUACCUCUUUUCUUUUCUUACAACAACAAAAAAACGCUGCGUUUUAUAUGUCGUUUAGGGCUUUCAUGUGGAUAAUCAAAUCUCAGUUAAUGUGUAAUAACGGUGUUGAAAUUGUUGGAGCUGGUUCGUUUGGCUGUGUUUCGUUUUCAAUUCGAUUUUGUGAAUGCUGAACAAAUAUUUGCUGUAUUUUGUGAGGAUAUUUUUGGGUUUUCUAAUUUCCAGCACAAUUUGAAGAUAUGCAAGUCCUUAUCCUCUCUGAAGUUGUCUUGGUAUGAACGAAACUAAGUUUUUUCUUAUUUGAUUAUUGUUCUUGCUGCAAGAUCCUUGGUCAAUAUUAAUAUUUUUGAUUGUUUGUUUUUACAAGGAUAUCACUGGAAUGUGUUUUUUUUUUGCGCCCCCCCACCACCCCCAACGUUUUUGCUAUUGAAUUCCAUGAUAAAUCUUUAUCUGGGGGAAUUCAACUUUGCCAUCUCUUAUUGGCUGGCUCAAUAACCAAUUUGCUGCUGCAAAUAACUUUAUUGCUCUGGCUUAUUAAUAGAGUUUUCUGUAGAUAUAUACUUGCAGUGCAUAAGACUAUGUAUACCACCAGAAAUUGGCAUAUUCAUCUGCUUAAUCUAAUUGAUCAAAAUUGCUAGGAAUGAAUCUCCAUAGUUUUGACGCUUGUUUUCAGAGUAGAGUUUUGCUAGACUGAAACUAGAAACAAUGCUACUUUUUAUGGAGAUGUAGUUUCAGGGACAUGGCAAAAAGUUUCUAGUUCAUUUUCAUGCCUGCAGCUAGAGGAUCGCUCUGGCAUCGCACACAGCUGACUGUUGGCUGGGCCUCUAUGGAUCAUUAUCACUGAGAUUAGGGCUGAUUUUAACCCACCUGGACAUAGUAAUGGUCAAGAUGCUUUUUGAGUAGUGUAUUUCAUAUCAUUUUGAGUAUUUGUUGCUUUUACUGGGCCUGGCGAUGUUAUCUUAACUCUAUUUCUAAUUUUCUAUGCAAGUGAUACCUCAUCAUUUGCUUAAGUGAAGAAGCCUUGCAAUAAUGCUAAAGCUGAUUGUGCAGUAACCUCUUCUUUGGUGCUGUUUCCAAUUUGUCCUAAUGUCCAUUCGGUAUCAUCUUUCUUUGAGUUGUUCUAUUGCUUCCCCCCCCAAAACAAAAAAAAAUAAAGAACUCUCAAUUUAGCAUUAUCAGUAUCUCCAACACAAGCUCUUUGGCAUGAAUAAACCUUUUGUGCAGCCGACAAGUGCAUAUCUUCUGUUAGUUUUAUCACCAUAUGAGGUGUUUUUAAAAUCUCUAGGUUAUGAAUAUGGUUGGCAAGUAGGAACUACUCUAUUUGUUUUAUCACCAUAUGAAGUGUUGUAAAAAUCUCUAGGUUAUGACUAUGCAUAACAAGUAGGAACAACUGAAUAAAUUCUAAGCUUGUGACUCUUGGGCUAAGACAAUGGAUAUCUCAACCUAGGCUGGCCCUUGAGAACUCUUGAUUUAUAUAGGCGUGCUUGUCAGUUGUCUCACAUUCUUUUUCCAGAAUAUUUAUUGAGGAAACAUAGAUAAUGAAGCACCACCUAGUAGAGUGAUCCUGCUUUCUGUUUCCAUCAAAUAUGAAGCUGGAAGCUUGCCCAAACAAAAAGUAAAAAGAUUCAGGAGAUAAAAAAUUUUAGAACCAAAAAAAAAAAAAAGAGGCCUGAAUUUGCAUUGCAUUUUUAAAACUUAUAUGGAAGGAGGACUAGCUUAACCCCUCCCCCUUCCUAACACAUGCACAACUCCCCAUUCUCACAUACUCUUACCUCUCUCGCUUUCUCCCCUUAUAAUACAUACGUCACUAUCCCUAUGUUUUAUGAGCGCAAGAGCUUCAUGUUUUUUGAGUUAACUAAACUAAUGCCCAAGUAUAAGAGCAAAAGUAGCAUAGAUGAUUAAUCUCCAUCCUUCCUCCAACAAAGUAACAUGAACACACAACGACGGAUUAUGUAGAACCUCGCUUUCUUUUCCUUCAAAACUCUACUCUUGGGUGCUGAAACUUUGGCUUGCUUUGGCUGGGAUUGGGAAGUAGACAUUCUCGAUGACCUUAUGGCUCUCUGGUAUGUUCCUUCUUCUGCUUCACAAUCAGUAACUUCUCAGAUUAUGAGUGUCUUCCCCUUGUGGAAUAUUUUGUAGGGGGCUGGUAGAGUUUGUUUCAGCUUUCUUUGAUGUCAGUAAAUAGAUGGUCAAAUAUACCAGUAGGGGCCUUGAUGCUUGGCCACGCUUUCCUAAGGCAGUCAACCAGGAAGCUGGUUUUCUGCUCUCAAAAGGCUGUCUUUUGCAGUUUUCUACAUUGAUUCAAUACCCGGACUUCCUGGUUAAUUGUCUUCUGACCGACCAUAUUAGUGCUCUGCUCCCACGAUUUAUUGCCGAAAAGACAAAUGGACCACCUAGCCCCAUAGAGACAUAUCAACAAAAGGUCAGAUGCGGGUAUCACUUACCUAUAAAUUUCUGAAAAAUAAUAAUAAUGAUAAUAAUGAUAAUGGUUACUGUCUUACUGAACCACACCCCCAUCUACACACAAUAGAACCUCAGCUGACCCUGAGAUGUGAAUGUGGCUGGUUUGGUCGUAUAUCAAGUCCCUUCAUAAUUUUUGGUAUCUUUGCUUCUGAUUUCGUAUUUAACUCUCUUUUCAAAUUUCAGCUGUUCAGAUUAUUUAUUAGACAUGUUUGAAAAGACCAUAAGAAAGAAGCAACCAGUUUUGUUUUUUUUUUGGUGUUCUCUUCAAUUUCUCAAGUAAGAGAGAGAGGAGAUGUAUCGAAUGAGUAAGGAACUGCCCCCACCCAGCAACCCAAGUUUUGGGCUCCCGACUCAGGCUUUCCAAUUGUUGGGUUGCGUGUUUCCAUUGACCAUCUGUAUUCCUCAUGUCCAUAGAUUGCAUUUUGCCAUGAAUAAACUCAAGAUUCCUCUAAACUCAUGCCCCUGCGUAUUGAAUUCAGUCUACUAGGGUUCAGAACUCUCCUUUCCCAUGAUGAAUUAUAUAGAACAACGGAAAGGACUAAAAGUAUGUAUGCCCUUCCUUUGGCCUUUAUGGAAGUUUGUUAGUCCUAGCCCUGGCCAGCAGCCCUGAGAACCCCACGCUCGGUGUGUGUGUGUGUGUGUGUGUGUGUGUAUGAGUUGGUUUUCUUUUUCUUUUCUUUUUUUUUUUUUAAAUUUUAUAUUAGUUGCUUUUGCUCCGGUGAUGACUUUGAUCAGAAGCCCAUAUCGUUCCAAUUUCCGAAUCUUUUUAUAUAUUUUAUGUGUGGAAGUGGAACCGAAGAGAUUCUGAGGAGCUUUCUUCACCUUAUAUUUCCCUCUUCGUUUUUUCUUUCUUUCGUUCUCCAUUUCUCUUUUUUUUUUUUUUUUUUUUCUUUUUUUUCUUUUUGUGUUUUUUUUGGGGGGGUUGGGAUUUUAUGAGCUGUUUUCCUAUUACUGCUGAAUGCCCGUUCAAUACUAUGAUGAAUUGGUGAUAAUACAUUUGUUACCUCCUUAUAUAAUGAUGUAAGGUAUACAAUUGUUCGAUGAAAAUUCAAUGACUGUAAAAAUAUAAAAUAACAGAAUUUUUUUUUUACAACGGUUAGAUUUUUAUCGAAUGGUUACAGGAGAAUUAUGUAUCUUACAUAAUAAUAUAAGAUAAUAAGUUCAUGAUGAUAGAGUCGCAGACAAACACGAAGAAAUUGACAGAAAAUGAUAAUAGUUAAUUUUUUAAUUUUUUAAAUUUUAUGGGUUGAUAAUAAUUUUAUACAAUUAAUUUCUUCAUAUUACAUUAAUUUUUAUGGACAAAUUUAUACACACUAAUUUAUACAAGAUAAUUGUGACUUUAUCAAAAAUUCAUUAAUACAACCUUAAUUUUUGGCAACAUACAACAGGUAGGAGGUAUUCUUCUUCUUGUUUGAACUCAGCCAAAUAUUAAAAGAAUGCAAUCCGCGAUAUUGGUAUGUGCAGGAACUGGUUCUAGUUGGGCUUGGCCAGCCUAUCUUACAUUCGCAAUACCACUUAUGUGUUAUUUUUCAGUCCUAAAAUUUUUGCGCGAUUGUUUUUUGAAAUUAAUGAUUUAAAAGCAAAAAAUCCCCUAGGAGGAAUUCAUGUUCAUGGAAGAAAAUUGGCUAACGCCUCGUGUGACUCAUAAAUUAACGGUUCAACUUUUAUAAUAAAUGACGAAUUAGAGUUUUUAUAACUUUAUAUAAGUUUAUUUAAAGUUAAUUUUAUAAAAAAAAAUUUUUUUUAAGUAAAUACACUAAAUUUUAACAUUAUUUGUUAAUAAGCAUACAUAUUAUUAAAAUCUUACGGCUAUUUUUAUCAUGUGAUUUUCUGGUAGUGUAUAUUGGUAUAUGACUUAUUUUUGUCAUGUGAUUUUCUGUUAACAAACAUUAGUAUAUUUUAAGUCGAAUUUUUACGAUUGAAAUAAGUUAUUUCAACUUACUUCUAAAUGUUCAAACUCACAAGAGUAUGGUUGUAAAACUUUUUUUAUUUUUAUUUUUUUUAAUAGUGAAAAAGUUAACUGAUGAGUCGUUGACUUGGGCAAUAGCAUUUCUUAAAUAAUAAAUAAACAAAAUUAAUAGCCAAAAGAAAGUUUCAGUUUAAUAUGUCAAUGUCUGAUCACGAAUGCUAACAAACAAAUGAUAGAACAAAAUUAGCCGUUUGGAAUCAGAAAUUAGAGUCAAUUCAAUUCUAGUGACUAAUCUUUCCACAAAACGAACAAAACCCGUUUACUUCAGUUGACAUUCCUUUUACGUAGAAACCCACCAUGUCUCCUAAGCAACAAUCCCUCUCUUCAUUCAUCUCCAAUCAUGUGCAUGGCGUCUUUUCAUUCUCGUAGCAGUAACAAUAACGGUAACCACCCCGCGUCCUCUUUCUCUCUUUUGUUGUUGUUUUUGUUGCUUGCAUCAGUAUCAGCAUCAGGGACUGUCGCAAAAGCUAUCUCACAGCCAACCACAGGCAAUUUUGACAGAGGCCCCGUCGUACCCACAACCCCGUUGGUCACUUUCUUGGAGCGUGUACAAGAAACUGCUCUCGCAACUUUCGAACAAAAAGACUUUGAUCCAAAACUUUACGUUGAUUUGUCGUUGAAGUCCAAUCUUUCCACAACUGUUACCGCUUUUCACAAGCUACCGAGAAAUGCAACUGGGUCAGUUUUGGUUCCUGAUUUCAAGGAGUUCUUGCACGAAUAUUUUGAUGGUGCAGGAGACGAUCUUAUGUACGCUGAACCACCAGAUUUUGUGCCCGAACCAGAUGGGUUCUUGCCUAAGGUGAAGAACCCUCAAGUGAGAGCAUGGGCUCUUGAGGUGCAUGCUUUGUGGAAGAAUUUGUCUCGGAGAGUUUCUGGUUCGAUAUUGAACCGGCCUGAGUUUCACACUUUGCUUCCCCUGCCUCGACCGUUUGUUAUUCCAGGUUCCCGGUUUACAGAGGUCUACUAUUGGGAUUCAUACUGGGUUAUUAGGUUAGUUUUUGUAUUUGUUCUAUUUUUUUUUUUUCAAUGCCAGUUCAGUGACGUUGAAGAAAUUUUUUUUUUCUCUAAUGUCAAGUGCUUUUGUGCUGCUAAAUUUUUUUAUGGGUGUGAUUCAAUGUGCGUAUAGGGGCUUGCUAGCAAGUAAGAUGUAUAUGACAGCGAAGGCAAUUGUGGCCAAUCUCAUUUCUCUUAUUGAUACAUAUGGUUAUGUUCUUAAUUGUGCGAGAGCUUAUUGCACCAAUAGGAGGUAAUGCUUCUUCUUGUGCUAUCUUACUUAUUUUGGCUCCAACAUCUAUUGUAUUAGUUACAACUGUCAGAUCAUGCUUCUUCGUCAUUUUGUUUCCCAUCAGACCAAAGUUUUAGGCAUAGCUUCUGCAGUAUCUUCUGCAUUGAAUACAUGUAAAAUGUUCCCAUCUUUCUGACCAUGUAUCGUAUAUGCUUUCUUUUGAAUCUGUGCACCAUGCUUGCUAUUGACAUGGCAUGGGUUCAUGUCUUGCAGCCAGCCUCCCCUUCUCAGUGCAAUGGUUUACGAUAUUUACAAUCGAACUGGUGACUUAGAUUUGGUCAAAAAGGCUCUCUCUGCCCUGCUCAAAGAACAUCAAUUUUGGAAUUCAGGUAUACUGAAUACAUACUAUUUACAUAAAUAGUAUCCUCCCCUGCGCAAGAUUCGUUUCUUUGUUUGCUUGAACGUAAUUAUAUAGCUGAUAUACAUGUUAAUGUAUUGUAGGAAUACAUAAGGGUACGGUACAGCAGUCCUGAUCGGGUUAACUGAACCGAACUAAACUCAAUUUAUUUCGGGUUCCAUUCGGUUGCUGAAUCGGGAUGGGAUUUUAGUACCAGAUGGAUGAGGUAAUUAAUUAUCUUGCAUCAAACCAGUAUCCGUUAGGAAAAAAAUGACAUAAUUAAGAUCAGUUGGAGAAAAAUUCAUUUCCUCUACUGUGUGAUUCAAUUAAUUAAUUAUCAGACAAAACUCAGUUGACAAAUUUAUGGAGUUUAAUUGUCUUCUUGCAGGAAUACUUCAGAUUUCACCACAUUGGCAAUAACAUCAAUAUUACCUGUUGAUUUAAAUAUAUUUAUACUCAAGGUAAAAGUCUUUGCCUUCUUAGUAAGUCUAGAGACUUGGAAGUCCAUCCAUUUUUUCCCCCCAUAUUUAAGUGAUGUUUGUAUGUUGAUCCAGAUGGAACUUGACAUUGCCUCGAUGGCACAAAUUGUUGGAGACAAUAGAACUGCUGAGAGUUUCUUGAAAGCUGCUCAAGCAAGAAAACAGGCAAUAAACUCUGUUUUCUGGAAUGAAGAAAAGGGGCAAUGGCUGGAUUAUUGGAUAAGUAAUGGAACUAGCAGCCAGGUGAUUACCUGAAUGUGACGCUUAUUAGCUAAGACAUAACUUCCUCAGCUGUUCUUCCUCCUCCCCCCCCCCCCCCCCCCCCCCCCCCCCCCCCCCCCCCCCCCCCCCCCCCCCCCCCCCCCCCCCCCCCCCCCCCCCCCCCCCCCCCCCCCCCCCCCCCCCCCCCCCCCCCCCCCCCCCCCCCCCCCCCCCCCCCCCCCCCCCCCCCCCCCCCCCCCCCCCCCCCCCCCCCCCCCCCCCCCCCCCCCCCCCCCCCCCCCCCCCCCCCCCCCCCCCCCCCCCCCCCCCCCCCCCCCCCCCCCCCCCCCCCCCCCCCCCCCCCCCCCCCCCCCCCCCCCCCCCCCCCCCCCCCCCCCCCCCCCCCCCCCCCCCCCCCCCCCCCCCCCCCCCCCCCCCCCCCCCCCCCCCCCCCCCCCCCCCCCCCCCCCCCCCCCCCCCCCCCCCCCCCCCCCCCCCCCCCCCCCCCCCCCCCCCCCCCCCCCCCCCCCCCCCCCCCCCCCCCCCCCCCCCCCCCCCCCCCCCCCCCCCCCGGGAUUCUUAAGUUGAAUAAUUGAUGAAUACUGAGAAUGCUUUAAUGAGAGUAUUGUUUAUUCUGAAGCCUUUUAUGUUAUCCAGAUACUUGUAUAGUGGAGAAAGUCAAAAAAAGCUUUCAAAGUUCAGGCUUACUCGGUGCUGCUGGAAUUGCAACUUCUUGGACAAGAUCAGGAGAACAAUGGUAAUAAUUAAUUAGUUACAAAUUCAAUGUUAACAUUUGAAUUGGAUUUUUCUUUAUAUUUGUUGGCUAUUACUUAAUGUUACCAAUAUGAAACAGGCUGCUGUACCGUACAUCCGCCUUGGCCGUACAGCAGAAAUUUUGGCUUAAAAAACAAAAAAACAAAUCGCUCACUAGUCAUCUCGUAGCUGUCACGCCCAACUCUCCUCUCCACUCAGAGCACCCAUAAAUCCCUAACCGCAAGACAUCAACACCCACGGUGACGGCAGACGCAGCCCACAACCGUCUGCCCGUCCCCUCCAGACUCUAGCUGACACCUGACGCCCGACGCCCGCACCCACUUCAUAGUUCACCCACGCCCGUAAAGUAUAACACUCGCACGGCACACUGCACCGACGCUGACACUGUUAGUUUCUUCCCGCUGACGGGUUGAGCUUUAAAAAAAAAAUCUCUCUCUCACGCUCACAUCUCAGCGCUCAACAAAUCGCAGUUCACAAAACCAAUUUCCAAAUCCCUAAUCACAGCAGCACGACGACAUAUGGCAGCCCAACUCUAGCCGACGCCCAACGCCGCCAUUCACCUCAGCACCACGCUCGCCCUCAGCACGCCCUCUACACGCUCGCAGCCCAAAGCCGUUCACCUCGUGCUCGCGGCUGACUCACUCCCACACGGCCACACUGCUGACGCUCACAGCCCGCAGCCAUUCACCUGUGCCGUUCGCUUCCAAACUAGUUGUCGUCUCUUGACUCACUUCCAUCUCUGCC